CAAAAACAUAGCUCUAGAAAUAAUCUAAAGUGUAACCUGCCCAGUGGCUUUUAAUAAAAAGGAUAAGAGCCUAAAAAUAAAGCUAAAAGGACGCGGUAACCUUGACCGUGGUAAUGUAGCAUAAUCACUCGCCAUUUAAUUGAUGGAUAGUAUGAAUGGUUGAACGAAUACUCCACUGUCUUAAAGAGAAUUAUAUAAAACUGAAAUAAUAGUCAAGAUGCUAUUUUAAACUGUAAGACGAAAAGACCCUAUAGAGCUUAACUAUACGCUCUUUACUAAAAAUAAGAUAACUAUCUUAAGAAUAAAGAGAAUGGUAGUUUAGUUGGGGCGACUGCCUUCUAAAAUUAACGAAGGUAAGCAAAGUUAAUUUAAAAACUUAUUGUAUAAUCUAAAUUUUUAACAAUUACUAACGUAGGUUAUAUUGACCCGUUGAAAUAAAGUGAUAUUAUCAACGAUCAAUUAAUAAAAGCUACCUUAGGGAUAACAGGAUAAUUUUAUUUUAGAGUCUAUCGAAAAUAAAGUUUGUCACCUC
RNAcentral lists this ribosomal RNA (532 nucleotides) under Helgicirrha brevistyla. Its description in RNAcentral is "partial 16S ribosomal RNA". It matches the Rfam family "Bacterial large subunit ribosomal RNA", at positions 1808 to 2527 of the family's 2925-position model. The record is from RNAcentral. Lineage: Eukaryota; Metazoa; Cnidaria; Hydrozoa; Leptothecata; Eirenidae.